GUCAUUAUAGCUUAAAUAUUUAAAGCAUGGCACUGAAGAUGCCAAGAUGGACAAUAACACUCCUAACGACA
This 71-nucleotide transfer RNA is filed under the name Lissemys scutata (Burmese flap-shelled turtle). Its description in RNAcentral is "tRNA-Phe". It matches the Rfam family "tRNA". From Rfam's summary of the family: Transfer RNA (tRNA) molecules are approximately 80 nucleotides in length. Their secondary structure includes four short double-helical elements and three loops (D, anti-codon, and T loops). Lineage: Eukaryota; Metazoa; Chordata; Testudines; Trionychidae. The record is from RNAcentral.